This 506-nucleotide ribosomal RNA is filed under the name uncultured bacterium. RNAcentral describes it as "partial 16S ribosomal RNA". It matches the Rfam family "Bacterial small subunit ribosomal RNA", at positions 28 to 506 of the family's 1533-position model. The record is from RNAcentral.
GACGAACGCUGGCGGCGUGCCUAAUACAUGCAAGUCGAACGCAUUUUCUUUCACCGUAGCUUGCUACACCGAAAGAAAAUGAGUGGCGAACGGGUGAGUAACACGUGGGUAACCUGCCCAUCAGCGGGGGAUAACACUUGGAAACAGGUGCUAAUACCGCAUAAUUCCAUUUACCGCAUGGUAGAUGGGUGAAAGGCGCUUUUGCGUCACUGAUGGAUGGACCCGCGGUGCAUUAGCUAGUUGGUGGGGUAACGGCCUACCAAGGCUGCGAUGCAUAGCCGACCUGAGAGGGUGAUCGGCCACACUGGGACUGAGGCACGGCCCAGACUCCUACGGGAGGCAGCAGUAGGGAAUCUUCGGCAAUGGACGCAAGUCUGACCGAGCAACGCCGCGUGAGUGAAGAAGGUUUUCGGAUCGUAAAACUCUGUUGUUAGAGAAGAACAAGGAUGAGAGUGGAAAGUUCAUCCCUUGACGGUAUCUAACCAGAAAGCCACGGCUAACUACGU